This is a long non-coding RNA of Suricata suricatta (meerkat), 2350 nucleotides long. RefSeq lists it as uncharacterized. The record is from RefSeq and is a predicted model, not a curated record. The transcript has 4 exons. Lineage: Eukaryota; Metazoa; Chordata; Mammalia; Carnivora; Herpestidae.
UCCUUUUUUUUUUUAGUUCUUGAGUUGUAAAAUUACAUUAAGAGCCCCUUUCUUGAUAUAGGCAUUUAUUGCUGUGAACUUCUCUUAGACCUGCUGUUGCUGUGUCCCUGAAAUUUUGGCAUAUUGUAUUUCUAUUUGUCCCACGGUAUUUUUAAAUUUCUUCUUUGACCUACUGGCUUUUUAGUAGCAUGUUAUUUAGUUUCCACGUAUGUGCAAAUUUUCCAGUUUGCUUCAUAUAAUUUUCUAGUUUCAUACCAUUGUGGUCAAAAAAGAUACUUGGUAUUUUAAUUUUCUGAAAUUUAUUGAUUUAUUAAAACUCUUUUUGAUCUAUCCUGGAGAAUUUGUGUGCCUUAGAAGAAUGUAUAUUCUGUACAUGUCUAUUAAGGCCAAAGUCCCCUACUACUAUUGUAUUACUGUUUCUCCCUUUAGGUCUGUUAACAUUUCCUUUAUAUUUUUAGUGCGUCUAUGAUAUUUAUGGAUGUUCUAUCUUCUUGGACUGACACCAUCACAAUGUCACGCCCCCUUUCUUUGAUAACAAUGAAUACCAUGUUGUGGGAGGGGAGUUAGGACACUUUUAAUUUAGUUACUGAACUUUACGAAUAGCACUGAGAACACUUUUAAAAUUAUGAACGUUAAUUGGAGAAUAGUCAAGUCAGGAAGAGCAAUUCCUGGGUGUUCACGGCUAGUGUGAUAUCUUGGCCCAAUCACUGCUUUUAAAGGAUUUUUUUCUAAAAUUCCGUAAACGACUAUUUUACAAAAACCUUUGUUUUUCUUAUCUUCUUCAAGAAAUGCAGAAGCAUCACUGCUGUUUGUGCUGCCCCCAACUGCAGGGAAUGCCUGGCAGUAAGAAAUGAAAUGUGUUCCAGUUACGACAUGUCUGUGGCUAGACAUGGAUGUUUUCAGGUCAGCUUUUUAAAAAACUGAGUUAAGGUAAUAAAAAUUUUAUGAUCUUCAUUAAGACUCCAUUGGUGUGUCUGAGCUCCUGCUUCCAAAAGGGCCACUGAUAGAUGAACUUCUUGUAUUGCCGAGAACAAGCCUCUCUCGUCUUCCAAAUGCUUCAUUUACUAAAACACAAAUAAUGGUUAAAUUACCAGAUCAGAAGAUUAAGAACCUAGAAUAUACAAUAGAGAUGUAGAGAUGAACAGUAUGAUUCUCUGCCCUAGUGUGGAAAUUAAAUGGGAAACAAAAUAACCAGGAAGUCCAAGUUAACAUUCUGAAUGAGGUUAAUCAUAUUUUAUUCUGUAUCUGUAUCUACAUUUAUUCCGUAUUUUGCCUUGUCCUUGAUUUAUUUAAUCCACCUUCAUAAAGUGACAAUUUUUUCAUCUUUCUCUGUAUCAUAACCAGCAGAGAACUUUUUAUGGAUUUAGGGCCUUUUCUCUACGUGGAAGAUUCAGGAAUCAGUGGAACUACGUCUUCUCUGUUCAUAGGACAAACCGGACUAACUACAGGUUACAACAGACUGUGCUUCAGGAUGGGCACUGGACCUACACUCGGGCCACAUGUUGUGUGUGAGCCGCACAGCACUCACUCAGAAAGAGGGAAUCAAGAUUCUCACCUGAGGAGACUGUGCUUAUAUCCCAGACUCGAAGCCCUUCUUUCUGACCUCCAAAGGCAUAAAUAAAUGGCAAAUCGGGACAACAGGAAGAACAGAAGAGAACUCCCUGGAAGAAGAAAACAGCUGCAUGUGAGGACAGAGCUCUGGUCAUGGCAUGGACUACAGACAGAGAUGUGGGAGCAGAGGUGAGAUCCGAGAGAACACAGGCCUGGAGAGCACAGUCAUUUAAGUACCAAUGACACCUUGUCAGCAAAUAACCUCAGGAAAUGGGUUCUGGAGUGUCGAAAGUCAAAGUCUAACACAACAUUCAAACGCAACUGGGACCUCACUCGUCGAAGUAAAAGGAGUCUGGCUUCAGGUAACUCAGCUGGGAGUGACACCGCCCCCCGAGCAUAGCUGAGAUGAAGUGUUCCUGGGCCCACUGUUUCAGGAACCUUGCUGAAACUGUCCACAUACUUAAGAAAGCAGUUUUUCUCUCAUUUAUAAAGCAUUAGAUAUGUACUUUAUGAAAAUUAGGAAAUACAUGGAUGUGUCACACUUUGGAUGAAAGCUGGGAUUUUGUUUGGAUUGAAAUGUCUGUGGAAUCUUUGGAUACUACACAGAAAAUUUAUCCUACACAUAUUAAGUGGGGAAAAAAGUGUAAGUUCUAUAAAUACCCUUAAGAGACUAAUAUAUUAAUUCAGUAAGUAUUCUCAACACAGGAGCCCCAUUUAAUUUAAAUAAAAGAAUAUCCUCUUGGACGAAUUAACCAUGCUUAAUGUUUCAAAAAACACAAUAAAAUCAUUUACAUCCUUA